RNA transcript from Aethalodelphis obliquidens (Pacific white-sided dolphin), 367 nucleotides. It is a transcript of the gene named mitochondrial pyruvate carrier 2 pseudogene, with no coding region annotated. Lineage: Eukaryota; Metazoa; Chordata; Mammalia; Artiodactyla; Delphinidae. The record is from RefSeq and is a predicted model, not a curated record. The transcript has a single exon.
AUGCGGGGCACCUACCACCGGGUACUUGAUAAAGUGGAGCUCCUGCUGCCUGAGAAACUGAGGCCGUUGUACAACCAACCAGCAGGUCCCAGAACAGUAUUCUUCUGGGCUCCAAUUAUGAAAUGGGGGUUGGUGUGUGCUGGAUUGGCUGACAUGGUCAGACCUGCAGAAAAACUCAGCACAGCCCAAUCUGCUGUUUUGAUGGCUACAAGGUUUAUUUGGUCAAGAUACUCACUUGUAAUUAUUCCCAAAAACUGGAGUCUGUUUGCUGUUAAUUUCUUUGUUGGGACAGCAGGAGCCUCUCAGCUCUUUCGUAUUUGGAGAUAUAACCAAGGAUUAAAAGCUAAAGCAAACAAAUAAGAGUUCU